This is a long non-coding RNA of Cyprinus carpio carpio, 932 nucleotides long. Lineage: Eukaryota; Metazoa; Chordata; Actinopteri; Cypriniformes; Cyprinidae. The record is from Ensembl.
GGAGAUGACAAAAAUCACUAUACCAGCAGCCUUGACCUGACUGUAUAUACUAUAUGGAUCCAUUCAAAAUUAUUGAAUCAUCAAAAUAAUAAAAUAAAAACAUUGUAAAUGUGUGGAAACUCAGUGAUAUCAUCCGUGGUGUAAGUAAGUGCUUGUGUCUUUUGCUUGGAACAUCAGAUGCCCUUUUGACCUGCACAGCAGCGUGUGGGAAGGAUCACAGUUCUCAGAAAAAAUAAGGUAAUAUAAAAAAGCCUAUUUUUUUAAAGCUAAAAUGAUUCACUAAAAACAGGAUGCAAGUCAUUUUCUCUGUCAUCGCUGAUGUAAUCAGCUGGGUUUUGUGGAAGGAGAAGUUAAAAACUAAUCUAAAGAUAAAAACUAAUCUAAACAUAGAUUUUUUUUUUUUUUUAGUAAUACAGAAUACUAAGAAGAAAAAAAUAUUUAGUUCAAAUCUUCAUAUGGUUCAAAUUCCAUUAUCGUUAGAUUUUUAGUUCAGCUCUUAUUGAAUGCCCAAGCUCUUCUUACAAUGAAGUAUUGCUCUAGUGAGGCUUGCCAGAGAAGAUGCUCUGGAUAUUCACUGAGGUCACAGUAUAGUUCAUACCAAACACUGAAUAAUGUAAAUAAACACCUAUUUGUGUGCAAGUAAAGAUACUUUAAUGGCUGUACAUGAUGAAAUCAGAGAUUCAUCAGUGCAUCUUCACCAAACUGUACACGUGAUCUUCUGUGUUUGAGUUAACUGGUUUGUCAGGGAUUGUGCAGUACAGGUGAUAAACAUUCUUAAGGACACACAUGAAAUAAAUGUGUUAGUAUUCUGUUGAUGAUGGACGGUCAUGUGGGCUUGGGGUGUGACAGUGUUCACACAUACCUCAUUUUCCUCUGUAUUUCCCUGUUUCUGUUGUUUAUUAACCAAAACAUCUGUGAAGCAAUGCAGAAAC